AGUUGUUGAGAUAAUUACGUAUAAUGCGCUUUCUGGAAAAUCAGCUUAUCAGCGGCAUAAACAAUGGUUGCAACAUGCAAAAACACGAAGUGCUAGACACAAGAUUAUGAAGUUUUUAAGGGAACAAGCUGCGCUAUCAGCUGCUGAGAUAACAGCAGAUACCAUUACUGACUUCAUUGCUGAUUCUGAAGAGGAAAGUGAGACAGAAGAAUCCCCACUUGUCUCCACUAAAAAAAAG
Molecule: unclassified non-coding RNA, 238 nt
Filed under: Hevea brasiliensis (rubber tree)
Lineage: Eukaryota; Viridiplantae; Streptophyta; Magnoliopsida; Malpighiales; Euphorbiaceae
Source: RNAcentral